GGCGGCAUGCUUUCUAAGUUGUCUGAAAAUAAUUUUGUCCAAAGCUCUUCAGCUUCAUCAAGCCUCCCAUCCUCUGCUAAAGCAUUGAGUAACGUGAAGUAUGUUCCCAUUGUCUGUCCUUGGCCUUUGCUCAGCAUCCACUUUAUUACCUGAAUUAUCCUCUUCCAUUCCUGUUCAUUCUCAAGAGUCUUCAAUGCUUUCUUAAC
This 206-nucleotide unclassified non-coding RNA is filed under the name Hevea brasiliensis (rubber tree). Lineage: Eukaryota; Viridiplantae; Streptophyta; Magnoliopsida; Malpighiales; Euphorbiaceae. The record is from RNAcentral.